CUUGUAAACAGUAAGACAAUAGAUUGCUUUUUAACUGUUUUUUUUUCCCAGAGGUGAAUUUAAUCAAAUUACAUGUGAUUUCUUACCUGUUUGGACUUAUUUCCACCAUCUUAUGUGUGUUUUCUAUCAUCUUUUUUUUUUCUUGCCUACUAUCUGCAGUAUUAUUUUUUCCUAUAUUCUCAUUCCUCUGUAUUGACUUAGAAGCUAUUGAUUAUAUUUCUUCCCUUCAACUGGUUAUUAAAAAAUUUUUGACAUUCAUGUUAAUUUUUCUUAUGUAAUUAUUCAGAAUUUUAUGAAUUUAUAAUUUUAUAAUAAACUUACAGUAAUUUAAAUGACCAGAGCACACCAUAACCACCAGAGAACACUCCAUUUCAUGAUUGUUCAGUUUUAGCUUUACCUUUAAAAAAAUCCUUCCCAAACCCCUCAAACUUAAAAAAAACAACUAACUAAAUUUAGUAACAUUUCAUCAACUGAAUCACUCUUUUCAAAAAGACCUCCUUGCCACCCCUCUGGAUUCACUCUUCUGGCCGAAGUUCAUCCUUUAGUUGUUUUAGUGAGGAACUGUGAGUAGUAAACUAUUUUUUACAAAUAGCUUUUUCUCUCCACUCUUGAAUAACAGUUCAGGUGAUUAUAAGGUUGCAGUUUCCAGUUACUUCCCCUCAGCAUUGUGAAUCUAUUGCUCUAUUGUUUCCUGGCAUCUAUUAUUGCUAGAUGUCUGCGUCAAUCUAAUUGCUGUUCUUGUGUAAAGACUGUCUUUUCUUUUUGUUUAGUUUAAAAUUUUUCACUUUAUCCUUAAUGUUUCACUGGGAUCUAUUUAAGGGGACUGAUUUAUCCUGCUUGGAAUUCAGAAAGUAUUUGUAAUCAAAGCACUCAUGCCUUUCUUGAAUUCUGGAGAAUUCUCACUCUCUCUCCAAAUAUUGCUUCUCAACCAUAUCUUCCUAUUGGAUAGAUAUUGGAAACUAAAUUUAUCCUUUGUUUUAAGAAAAUGUUUUUCUGUGCUACAUUCUAGUUGCAGCUCUCUUCUAAAUUCAUUUCUCCAAUUGCUUUUUCAUAACCAUCUGUUGCUGUUACUUGUUUCAUGAUUUACUGUUCAUUUUUAAUAAACAUCUCUUUACUCUUUCAGCACACAGAUAUUUUUAAGUCUGCUGAAUGGUUUCCUAUUAUUUUUACAUCAGGAUUGAAUCUGUAUUCCAAUGUUAGUAUUAUUGGGUGGGUUUUUCUUAACAUUGAAUCACUUUCAAAUCAUUUUGGAAUUUUUGCUGCAGGCUACUUUGGGAGAAAGAUUUGUUUAUUUGUUUUUGAUCUCCAUUUCUCCUUUCUCAUGCUUACUCCCUCAUACAGUUGCCUCUGCCUUGCUUCCUGGGAACACAGUUCAGAACUAGGUCUUACGAAAGGUAAGUCUGAGUUCUUGUCUCUGAGAUAGUGGAGCUCUUACAAAUCCAGUUAUUUAGACAAAGUCUGGUUUCGUUUCUGUCUGUGAGAUUGCGUCCUCCCAUAUGGCUAGGUACAGCUUCUUUAAGCCACUAGAUUUCUGCAGCAGUUAAGGACAGUUUUAUUUGGUUUCCUUUUAUGCUUAGGGAAUCUCAAUCCAAGGCCCUGACUUUAAGCCAUAACCUUACUCCAGUCCUCACUUGUGUGGAACACUUUUAAUCCUCAUUACCCAGGAGCCAUAUGCUUGGCUACCACUGCCCACUUCCAGAACUGUUACAGCUCCCAUCAUCACAUUGUGCUUCUACUUCAUAGAGAUGUUUACCUUAUUUAUUGCUCUGUCUAUAUCUUUUUGGGUUUUUUUCCCCAAUUGUUGCCAUGUGCUAGAUCAUGAACUUAAUGUGCUAUUUUGAUCUAAAACCAAUGAUGUUUUUCAUUUCCUUGUAUGCCCAGAGCCACUGUAAUGGACAUGACUGGCUGUCUACCUGGAACCCAUUCCUCCCUUUUCUUUCUCAUUAGUACCCAACAGUAUUACUCUUCAUAUCUUCAGAUAAAAACUGCACUUUUUGCAUUUACUCCCUUUCUAAUCCAUGCCACCUUAUUUAACCCAAUUACUGACCUUCAAUGAUUGAGUCUUAAUGUUUUGUAAGUAGUUAACAGACAAGUGUAGUUUUAUUUUGCUACUCAUGAAUCAAUUCUUGUAAUAAGCAUGAUGCAUACCAGCACAGUCAGUUCUUAAUACUGAGACAGCAUACUUCAAGAUAAAUCCUGGUACUCAAUUUCUGUGUGCAUUUUUUUUAAUGCAGUUUGUAGCACUUCUAAGUUAAUUUUUUACUUAAAGAACAAAGGUAAGUGACAAAGGAACAUACUCCACCCAAGCACUUUAUGAGCCCUGAAAUGUAAUAGUAAAAAGGACAAACUUCAUUGUGAAUUGGUUUUGAAGGUUAAUAAUAUAUUACUAUUAUCAGUAGUAGUGGCAUAGUUAUUUUACUUUGACCAGUCAUUGAUAAAACAAUCCAAGUCUAGUUGUUAAGUAGCUGAAGCUAGAAAUACAAUUAUUUCCUGUAGAAAUGACUGCAGUGCUUUCAAAUAAUUUAUACAGUUGACCAUUGAACACAAGUAUGACCUGAAUGGGUCCACAUAAAUGCAAGUAUUUUUCAAUAACUAUAUUGGAAAUAUUUUUGUAGAUUUGUGACAAUUUGAAAAAACAUUUUCUUUUCUCUAGCUUACUUAAAAAAUAUAGUAUAUGAUACAUAUAACAUACAAAGUAUAUGUUAGUCAUCUGCUUAUGUUACCAGUAUGGCUUAUAGUCAACAGUGGGUUGUGAGUAGUUAAGUUUCUGGGGAGUCAAAAGUUAUACAUGGAUUUUAGACAGCAUAGGGGGACAGCAUCCCUAAGCCCACAUUGUUCAAGGGUCAACUGUACAUGAAAAAUUUACAACUACCCUCCUCUAAAGAGUUGUCCAACUUGCAGAUUCUAAUUCCUCUCCUCCUAUUCUCUAUUUAAACCACACCUAUCAGGUUUUCUCUCACUCUUCUCCUGAAAAUGCUCUUGCAUGGUUACCAGUGACUUCUGCAUUGCUAAAUCCAAUGGUCAAACCUCUUUCUACAAAGAAAGAGGCUGUCAUUGAAAAAUCUUUCAUUUCCCUUCAGCACUACUUCAUAUUGCAAAGGCAAAGUGAAUUCCCUAAAAAUGGUAUCAAAACACAAAUACAGUUGAUCCUUGAAUAACACAGGCUUAAGGGUACUGACACUCUACACAGUUGAAAACCUACAUAUACUUUUUGACACCCCAAAAACUUAACUAUUAGUAGUCCACAGUCGACUGGAAGUCUUAACAAUAACACAGUCAAUAAACACAUAUUUUGUAUGUUAUAUAUUAAAUACUGCAUUCUUUCAAUAAAGCUAGAGAAAAUAUCAAGAAAAUCAUAAGGAAAAUAUAUUACAAUAUUGUAUUAUAUUUACUGAUUCCAUUAAGAUUACACUAGAAAAUGAACUGUCUGCCAGUAUGUACAUCAGUAUUCUUACAUGAAACAAAAUACUGUAGAUGUUGUUUGUAUUACUAAAACUAGACCAAAAAAAAGAAAAGAUGAGGAAAAGAUUCAUAAUCAUUUAUAGGUAUAAUCAUUCACGUAUUGAUAAUGAAGCAGCAGCAAUGUGACUGCCUAUGGUAGCCUUGCCUAUACACCAAUGAAUGAAUGAUUAUAUAAUUUUUAUGAUAUGAGGUAAUACAGUCAUAUUUACAAUGCAGAAUUGGAAGCAUUGUUACAUUUUUUUAAAAGUCACUUACCUGUGAUGACAAGCUGAUAUUUUCUCUACCAGAGAAAAACGUACAGUACUGUAAUUCUUUGAAAGCAAAGUUAUGAAACAGUAGGAAAACUAAUACAUUAUUACUUUUAUAUUAAAUAUCACCCACCUUAUGCCCAUGUAAGGAGAGGCUAUUCACUUCUUUACAAGUCUUGCACACAAUGUCUACAAUGAAUAUUUGGUUGAUAGUGAUGACUCAAAAAUAUCUCAAACAAUUCUUGUUGUAUAGUUAUUAGAUUUUCACAUGAAGACAGACAUGCACAACAGUAAGUUUAUUAACUGUAUGGCAUGAUGAUUCUUUAUUAUUCAUUAAGUGGAAGUGUAAAAAAGGCCUUCAUCAUCGUCUUCACGUUGAGUAGGCUGAAGAGGAGGAGGAAGUGGUUGGUCAUACUGUCUCAGGAGUGGGAAGUGGAAGAGGAGGCAGGAGACAGGCAGGCUUGGUGUAACUUUAUGGAAAAACAUUGUUAACUUCUGACUUUCUUGCUUUUUCAUUUCUCUAAAAACGUUUCUCUAUAUGGUACCAUCAUUUGCUUUUGUUUCAGUACCUGUAUCACAGAAGGUUCCAUGUUGUAAAAAAAAAAAGCCAAAAGUAAAAGUAGUCUUAAAUAACUGGAACCCUUUUGCCAAAUUGUCUCAUGUCGAUUUGUUUUCUGGCACUGCUUUGAUGUCUUCUUCCUCAUUGCACUGGUUCAGGAGCACUCAUUUCCAUCAAGUCAUCUUCCUCUUGAUGGUAACUCCUCUGGUGUGGUAUCUUGAAUCCCUUCGCACCCCUCCACCCCUCCCCUUUUUUGCCAUAUCCACAAUCUCAUGAUUUCUUUGAUUGGCUCUGCCUUAAAUAUUGGUGCUCAGUUCUCUUCCUUACUAAUAAUAUCCUUUGUGGCAUUUUUUUCUUUCCAGAAUAGGGACUGCAUUAAAAACUUGUUCAGGCAGAGAUCCUUUUUCCUUCAUUUUCUUACUAGUGCCUGGGAACUUUAUCUACUGCCUUUUGGUCAGCAGAAGCUGUUGCUCCUGUAAUUGACAUUUUUUAAAGCCAAAUCUCUUCCUAAAAUUGUCAAAUGAUCCUUUGCGGGCAUUAAAUUCUUGUUUUAGAUCCUUCACCUUCCUUUUGCUUCAAGUUGUUAUAUAAUGAUUUUGCUUUUUUUGAAUUAUAUUAAGACUCUAUACUAUAGGUAUGACUUUCUUCUAACAAUCCUGCAGCCACAUAAAAGCUGCAUUUUCAGUAUGAUACAAAAAGGUAUUUCACAAAAAGUGCAGGGUUUUUGCACCUCCUGGUAUAGCUGUAGCAACAGCUUCACGAAUUUCCUCUUCUUUUUCACAUAGUCCUUACACUGGAUUCAUUUAUUUUGAAGUAGUGGGCAACUGCAGCUGCAAACCUCAAUCUACAGUACAUGUAAGCAAUUCAACUUUUUCUUGUAACGUCAUGACUUUACUUCUUGGGAGCACUUCAAGCAUCUUCACUAGUGGCACUUCGUGUGGAUC
This is a long non-coding RNA of Manis pentadactyla (Chinese pangolin), 5213 nucleotides long. RefSeq lists it as uncharacterized. Lineage: Eukaryota; Metazoa; Chordata; Mammalia; Pholidota; Manidae. The record is from RefSeq and is a predicted model, not a curated record. The transcript is spliced from 2 exons.